This 1488-nucleotide long non-coding RNA is filed under the name Taeniopygia guttata (zebra finch). RNAcentral describes it as "lncRNA (ENSTGUG00000029510.1)". Lineage: Eukaryota; Metazoa; Chordata; Aves; Passeriformes; Estrildidae. The record is from RNAcentral.
AUGGGAACCGGACACCGGGACCGUGACACCGGGAAUGGGAACGGGGCACCGGGACACCGGGACGGGGAACAGGGCACCGGUACCGGUACACCGGGAAGGCGGCGGCGCUGGAGACGAACACCUUUAUUGGCACCGGCGAGUCCGGUGGAGCCCCGGCAGCACCGGAGGCAGCGGGAUCCUCCCGGAGGGCUCCCGGUAACCGGAUCCAGGGCCAGCCUCGAUCCGUGGGAACGCCGGGAGGCGCCCCCGGCUCCGUGUCCUCACCGGGAAGGAGGAGGGGGCAACCGGGACCCCCGGGACUUCUCACCGGGACAGCGGCGUCGGCGCGGGGGUCAGGGGGAGGCUCUGCCGGGACGGGAGGGACGCGGGUGUGGAUUUUGGGGGGACACGCGUGGGCUGCGGUGGGUUUGGGGGGCACGGGGGGUCCCGCCUUACCGGGGCCGGUACCGUGGGGCUCUGUCCACGCCGCCGCCGGAGGCCUGUGAGGACAGAACCGGUGGCACCGGGGGCCGGGAUACCCCAGCAGGGCGGGGUGGGGGUCCCUGGGCGCUGAACCCCCGGAAUUCCCGGUUCGGAACCCCCGGAAUUCCCGGUUCUGAACCCCCCGGAAUCACCGGCUCAGAACCCCCGGAAUUCCCGGUUCUGAACCCCCGGGAUUCCCGGUUCUCAAUCCCCGGAAUUCCCGGUUCUGAACCCCCGGCAUUCCCGGUUCUGAACCCCCGGGAUUCCCGGUUCUCAACCCCCGGAAUUCCCGGUUCUGAACCCCCGGCAUUCCCGGUUCCGAGCCCUCCUCCCACCUCGCCAGCCCACGGCCGCAGCCCCGAGCAGCAGCAGCAGCCCCGGGACGGCGGCACCGACCGAGACCGGGAGGAGCCAGGAAGGAUCUGGAAGGGAGAGAGAGCGGGGAUCACCGGGAUCCGGUACCGGGAUCCGGUACCGGGAUCAGGAACCGGGAUCCGGCACCGGGACCGUGACAGGUGUCAGCCCGGGGCGGUGCCGGUACCGUUCUGCGGGAUCCCGGUACCGUUUUGCGGGGUCCCGGUGCCGUUCCGCGGGGUCCCGGUACCGUUUUGCGGGAUCCCGGUACCAUUCUGCGGGGUCCCGGUGCCGUUCCGCGGGAUCCCGGUACCGCUCUGCGGGGUCCCGGUGCCGUUCUGCGGGGUCCCGGUGCCGGUGCUCGGUUCGCACUCGGCAUCGCCCAAAUCUGGGGAGAAAAACCCCCGGAUUGGGCUCGGGGGCAGCCCCGGGAUGCGGGACGGGGACUCCCCCCCGCUUCCCCGGUUCCCCGGCACCCACCGGGGCCGCCGGUGGCGGGGCUGGGCUCGGACUCCAGCCAGGCGCUGCCGUUGUGGCUCCGGUACCGGCAGCGGAGGCAGCGGGCGGCUCCGGGCACGGAGAACUCGACCCAGUGGCGGUCGGGAGCGGCGGGGACGCUCCGCACCGGGACCGGCGGGACCCCCCGGAGCAGCUCGAAGGUGCUGCCGGUGA